AGCUCCAGUAGCGUAUAUUAAUUUUGUUGCAGUUAAAAAGCUCGUAGUUAGACUUUUGUUCGUGUGGUACGGGUCCGGACCUAACGGUCUGUGUGCCAUGUCUCACCGGACUUUUUUAACUUUGGCAGUGGUUCAUUCUGCUGUCGUAAGUUAACUUUUACUUUGAGUAAAUUGGAGUGUUUAAAACAGGCAUACGCUUUGAACAUAUUAGCAUGGAACAAUAAUAUAGGACUAUAGGUUCUUUUUGUUGAUUUCUGAACCCGUAGUAAUGAUCGAUACGAAAGAUUGGGGGUGCUAGUAUUCUGAGGCCAGAGGUGAAAUUCUCGGAUUCUCUGAAGACUAACUUAUGCGAAAGCAUUCACCAAGUUCUUUUCGUUUA
RNAcentral lists this ribosomal RNA (379 nucleotides) under Cercomonas sp. RNAcentral describes it as "partial small subunit ribosomal RNA". It matches the Rfam family "Eukaryotic small subunit ribosomal RNA", at positions 587 to 975 of the family's 1831-position model. Lineage: Eukaryota; Cercozoa; Cercomonadida; Cercomonadidae. The record is from RNAcentral.